This 424-nucleotide ribosomal RNA is filed under the name uncultured Alistipes sp. RNAcentral's name for it is "bacterial SSU rRNA". It matches the Rfam family "Bacterial small subunit ribosomal RNA", at positions 355 to 776 of the family's 1533-position model. Lineage: Bacteria; Pseudomonadati; Bacteroidota; Bacteroidia; Bacteroidales; Rikenellaceae. The record is from RNAcentral.
UGAGGAAUAUUGGUCAAUGGACGCAAGUCUGAACCAGCCAUGCCGCGUGCAGGAAGACGGCUCUAUGAGUUGUAAACUGCUUUUGUACGAGGGUAAACUCACCUACGUGUAGGUGACUGAAAGUAUCGUACGAAUAAGGAUCGGCUAACUCCGUGCCAGCAGCCGCGGUAAUACGGAGGAUUCAAGCGUUAUCCGGAUUUAUUGGGUUUAAAGGGUGCGUAGGCGGUUUGAUAAGUUAGAGGUGAAAUCCCGGGGCUUAACUCCGGAACUGCCUCUAAUACUGUUAGACUAGAGAGUAGUUGCGGUAGGCGGAAUGUAUGGUGUAGCGGUGAAAUGCUUAGAGAUCAUACAGAACACCGAUUGCGAAGGCAGCUUACCAAACUAUAUCUGACGUUGAGGCACGAAAGCGUGGGGAGCAAACAGG